UAGMGUAUAUUAAAGUUGUUGCAGUUAAAAAGCUCGUAGUUGAACUUCAGACCUGGUCGGGCGGUCCGCUUAACGGCGUGUACUGUCUGACUGGGCCUUACCUCUUGGUGAGCCGGCGUGCCCUUUAUUGGCGUGCGUCGGGGAACCAGGACUUUUACCUUGAGAAAAUUAGAGUGUUCAAAGCAGGCUUAUGCUCGAAUACAUUAGCAUGGAAUAAUAAAAUAGGACGUGCGGUUCUAUUUUGUUGGUUUUUAGAAUCGCCGUAAUGAUUAAUAGGGAUAGUUGGGGGCAUUGGUAUUGAGUCGCUAGAGGUGAAAUUCUUGGAUUGACUCMMGACCAACUACU
Molecule: ribosomal RNA, 345 nt
Filed under: Erimyzon sucetta (lake chubsucker)
Lineage: Eukaryota; Metazoa; Chordata; Actinopteri; Cypriniformes; Catostomidae
Description: SSU rRNA
Rfam family: Eukaryotic small subunit ribosomal RNA
Source: RNAcentral